AAACUCGGAAGGAUCAUUACAGAAUGAAAGUGCUUAACUGCAUUUUUUUUACACAUGUGUUUUUCUUUUUUUUUGAAAACUUUGCUUUGGUGGGCCCAUGGCCUGCCAGAGAUUAAACUCAACCAAAUUUUUAUUUAAGUCAACUGAUUAACUAAUAGUCAAAACUUUCAACAACGGAUCUCUUGGUUCUCGCAUCGAUGAAGAACGCAGCGAAAUGCGAUAAGUAAUAUGAAUUGCAGAUAUUCGUGAAUCAUCGAAUCUUUGAACGCACAUUGCGCCCUUUGGUAUUCCAAAGGGCAUGCCUGUUUGAGCGUCAUUUCUCCCUCAAACCUUCGGGUUUGGUGUUGAGCGAUACGCUGGGUUUGCUUGAAAGAAAGGCGGAGUAUAAACUAAUGGAUAGGUUUUUUUUCCACUCAUUGGUACAAACUCCAAAAUUCUUCCAAAUUCGACCUCAAAUCAGGUAGGACUACCCGCGAACUUAGCCC
This 485-nucleotide ribosomal RNA is filed under the name Lodderomyces orthopsilosis. RNAcentral describes it as "eukaryotic LSU rRNA". The stretch from base 163 to 316 matches the Rfam family "5.8S ribosomal RNA". The record is from RNAcentral. Lineage: Eukaryota; Fungi; Ascomycota; Pichiomycetes; Serinales; Debaryomycetaceae.